This is a non-coding RNA of Vicia faba (fava bean), 189 nucleotides long. Lineage: Eukaryota; Viridiplantae; Streptophyta; Magnoliopsida; Fabales; Fabaceae. The record is from the annotation of a GenBank genome assembly.
AUGUUUAAUACUAUUAAUCACCUAUUAACAAAUUUCACUCGAAUAUUCCAAAAUCCUUUCAAUUUCUACUUUUCAACUCAUUCACAAAUACUACCUAAAAUAUUAACAUUACCCAUGACAAUGUUUUUUCCUCCUUGUAGAUUCAACUUACCCAUUCAUCCACAAUUUAUUUCCACUUCCUACUCAUAA